RNAcentral lists this long non-coding RNA (702 nucleotides) under Panax ginseng (ginseng). RNAcentral describes it as "long non-coding RNA (PGIN_LNC013516)". The record is from RNAcentral. Lineage: Eukaryota; Viridiplantae; Streptophyta; Magnoliopsida; Apiales; Araliaceae.
UAAAAUUCAAGUCCCAAGCUAAGAACAUGCAUCCAACUUAAUGCUAAAAAUUUUGAAAUUUUCUCUUUUUCCUCAUUUCAGCUCCAAUUCUUCCUGAAAUCAUUAAACACCUUAAUAAGCUCAUAUACACAUGAAACAUGCAAUAAAACUAAAUAUAAUGGAAUCAAAAUAAAUGAAUAAUAUGCACUCAUCAAAUUCCCCCACACUUAGCCUUUUACACGUCCUCGUGUAAACCAAAAGUUUGAUUUCCAAAAAAAUUCUAUUCAACCAUAGUGUCAAAAGAUUUCAAGAUACAAAUAAUGACUAUCAACACUAAAUUUGCAGAAAUCUAAUCAACGCCUUAUCAAUUAACUCACAAUUACCAACUUUACCAUUUCACCAAUGAAUUUCAUUAAAUCAAAUUGUAGCCACAUAAGUAACUUUCCCAAAAUCAUCAUACUUACUCAACUUAGUUACCAUGGAGCAAAAACCAUGCACACUGACUCAUAACCAAGAACAAAUUUUUCUCGCUUUUUAAAUUUUUUCAUAGAACCUUCUUUUUAAGCACAGAUGAAUGUAUUUUCAUGCUUCUUUUUUUCGUAUUUUUUUUUUCUUGACAUGUGCAAUGUCUCCUUUUCUUAGGCUUUUCAGAGUUACCCAUUAGCGAACUUUCCACCAACGACUCCCAAACCAGAUGAUCUUAGGGCGCUAGGUGUAGAGACA